UACAGAGGUGGCAAGCGUUGUUCGGAAUUACUGGGCGUAAAGGGCGCGUAGGCGGCCGUCUAAGUCAGACGUGAAAUCCCCCGGCUUAACCUGGGAACUGCGUCUGAUACUGGAGGGCUUGAGUGCGGGAGAGGGAUGUGGAAUUCCAGGUGUAGCGGUGAAAUGCGUAGAUAUCUGGAGGAACACCGGUGGCGAAGGCGGCAUCCUGGACCAACACUGACGCUGAGGAGCGAAAGCCAGGGGAGCAAACGGG
This 253-nucleotide ribosomal RNA is filed under the name uncultured bacterium. RNAcentral's name for it is "partial 16S ribosomal RNA". It matches the Rfam family "Bacterial small subunit ribosomal RNA", at positions 524 to 776 of the family's 1533-position model. The record is from RNAcentral.